UUAGUGUCCAUGGUGAGCAAUGAGUGGGCGGAGCAAAACAAUUAACAUCAGGGAGAGACGGCAGACAGAAACAAGGGGAAAACACAGAUAGACACAUUACAUAUUGAUGGACAUGAAAUCUUCUCUCUCUGUUUAAUAUCAUGUCACUGUUCAUGCCUCCAAACAGAUCAGUUCCUCCAGUUGUCUCAGUCUUUUCUCCAGCACGGACGCCUUGUUCCUCUCAUCCGUCUCCAGCACGGACGCCUCAUCCGUCUCAUCCGUCUCCAGCUCGGACGCCUCGUCCCUCUCAUCCGUCUUCAUUUGACAUCCCUGAAAGUUCACAUCCACAUGUUAUCAGACUUAUUUUCUCUGUUAGUUCUGUGUAAACUCUGGAGACUCUAGCUAGCUUUAUCAGCAGUUUAUGAAAUACUAAAACCAGUCCUUCUUUUUCUUCAUUCUGAUGUUUGUGACAUGAACAUUAACGGAAGCUUUUGACAUGAAUCUGAAUAAUUGUAUACAUUGUGCAGCUGCCACAUGAUUAAAUAACUGCAGAAAUGAAUUGA
Tachysurus fulvidraco (yellow catfish) is the source of this 542-nucleotide long non-coding RNA. RefSeq lists it as uncharacterized. The record is from RefSeq and is a predicted model, not a curated record. NCBI's taxonomy places the organism in Eukaryota, Metazoa, Chordata, Actinopteri, Siluriformes, Bagridae. The transcript has 2 exons.